This 458-nucleotide ribosomal RNA is filed under the name uncultured bacterium. RNAcentral's name for it is "partial 16S ribosomal RNA". It matches the Rfam family "Bacterial small subunit ribosomal RNA", at positions 338 to 795 of the family's 1533-position model. The record is from RNAcentral.
CCUACGGGUGGCAGCAGUGGGGAAUAUUGCACAAUGGGGGAAACCCUGAUGCAGCGACGCCGCGUGAGUGAAGAAGGCUUUCGGUAUGUAACGCUCUAUCAGCAGGGAAGAAAUAGCGACCUUUGGGUCGCCAGACGGUAGAUGACAAAGAAGCCCCGGCUAACUACGUGCCAGCUGCCGCGGUAAUACGUAGGGGGCAAGCGUUAUCCGGAUUUACUGGGUGUAAAGGGAGCGUAGACGGCAGCAUAAGUCUGAAGUGAAAUGCCGGGGCUUAACCCCGGAACUGCUUGGGAAACUGUGCAGCUAGAGUGCAGGAGAGGUAAGUGGAAUUCCUGGUGUAGCGGUGAAAUGCGUAGAUAUUAGGAGGAACACCCGUGGCGAAGGCGGCUUACUGGACUGUAACUGACGUUGAGGCUCGAAAGCGUGGGGAGCAAACAGGAUUAGAUACCCUUGUAGUC